CUACGUGCCAGCAGCCGCGGUAAUACGGAGGGUGCGAGCGUUAAUCGGAAUAACUGGGCGUAAAGGGCACGCAGGCGGUGACUUAAGUGAGGUGUGAAAGCCCCGGGCUUAACCUGGGAAUUGCAUUUCAUACUGGGUCGCUAGAGUACUUUAGGGAGGGGUAGAAUUCCACGUGUAGCGGUGAAAUGCGUAGAGAUGUGGAGGAAUACCGAAGGCGAAGGCAGCCCCUUGGGAAUGUACUGACGCUCAUGUGCGAAAGCGUGGGGAGCAAACAGGAUUAGAUACCCUGGUAGUCCACGCUGUAAACGAUGUCGAUUAGCUGUUGGGCAACUUGAUUGCUUAGUAGCGUAGCUAACGCGUGAAAUCGACCGCCUGGGGAGUACGGUCGCAAGAUUAAAACUCAAAGGAAUUGACGGGGACCCGCACAAGCGGUGGAUGAUGUGGAUUAAUUCGAUGCAACGCGAAGAACCUUACCUGGUCUUGACAU
This 487-nucleotide ribosomal RNA is filed under the name uncultured bacterium. Its description in RNAcentral is "bacterial SSU rRNA". It matches the Rfam family "Bacterial small subunit ribosomal RNA", at positions 501 to 987 of the family's 1533-position model. The record is from RNAcentral.